CCUACGGGAGGCAGCAGUGAGGAAUAUUGGUCAAUGGACGCGAGUCUGAACCAGCCAAGUAGCGUGCAGGAUGACUGCUCUAUGGGUUGUAAACUUCUUUUAUACAGGAAUAAACGGAGGCACGCGUGCCUUUCUGCCAGUAUUUUAUGAAUAAGGAUCGGCUAACUCCGUGCCAGCAGCCGCGGUAAUACGGAGGAUUCGAGCGUUAUCCGGAUUUAUUGGGUUUAAAGGGUGCGUAGAUGGGUUGAUAAGUCAGAUGUGAAAGUUUGCGGCUCAACUGUAGAAUUGCAAUUGAUACUGGCAGUCUUGAGUACAGUUGAGGUAGGCGGAAUGCAUGGUGUAGCGGUGAAAUGCUUAGAGAUCACAAAGAACCCCGAUUGCGAAGGCAGCUUACUAAGCUGUUACUGACAUUGAUGCUCGAAAGUGUGGGUAGCAAACAGGAUUAGAUACCCCAGUAGUC
This 460-nucleotide ribosomal RNA is filed under the name uncultured bacterium. RNAcentral's name for it is "partial 16S ribosomal RNA". It matches the Rfam family "Bacterial small subunit ribosomal RNA", at positions 338 to 795 of the family's 1533-position model. The record is from RNAcentral.